UUUGAACAAAGCAAAUUUAUUUCUAUCAUUUAGCACGGAAAAAGCAUGAAAUGUUUUCAUUUUGAGGGACCUUCUUGUUCACGGAAUUGGGCCACUCAAAUACGGACAUGUGUUGUAGUUCUGAAAAAACUGAAGCCCUCAAAAUCAUCUAAGACAACACAGGAGGAAAUUAAUGCACAGCGUUUGCAGCACGCAGACCCCCUCUUAUCACAAGGGCAAAAUUCCCACUGACAGUGAGAAUCCAGUGCCAGCAGAAGGACCUGUGCAGCUUGAUCACAGUAAACUCCCCCUCUGCCCUGCCAGUGCGAAGGGAUGCACACAGGGCUGGCCGCUUAGAGACCUGAGGCAAAGCUGACUCUAUGUGCUCAUGAAGACAGCCUCUGCAUCUCAAAACUGUACAUGUGCAAGAGCUGGAGUGAUUGCCAUUGCACGCAGGAACCUUCCUGUGUAUCUCCCAAUGCAUCAGGCUUUUCUUUGUCUGGCUCCUUGAUGGCGAGUUCUCCAGGAAAGAGCUUGGCUUGACUAUUAGGUCUUAGUGCGUAAUAAAUAAUGUCAGCAGCAAGCGAGCGCUGUUCUGCAAGGCUUUGCUGGGUUCCCAUUAAUUGCAAAGGACCUUCUUACAUCCUUUGUGUAAUCCCAUUCAUUUUGUUGGCAUCGUACAAGGGAUGGAUUUGGCCUCAAAAAUAAAGCAGGUUUCUUUUGCAUAAUGUAUUGUACCAUUUGGUCUACAUUUUGCUGAAGGUUUAUGUGUACUUGGAUAUUUCUCCCCAGAUAUGCAGCUGGAGAUAUUUUUAAAAUAGCAAACAAUGAACUGAUUCAACUGUCCAAAGCAGUUGUUCCGAUUGUGAAUUGUGGGGUAAGUCGUUAAGAAAGUGUAAGGUGGGCAAAUUUUCAGGAGAGCUUAGGUAAGUUUGUGAGCAUUGGAAAUGCGUGAAGGCAGCUCCAGCCUAGAUUGCUUUCUCUACCUCUGCUGUCCUGAUGGUUUUUGACAAGCUGAUUCCAUUUCUGGAAAAAGCAGUUCAUGAGAGAGAAAGAUUUCUCUAAAGAGUCUGUUGUUUUUCAGAAGAGUGAAAAUGUGUGCUAACAAUUCUGGACCAUUGACAAAAGCAAAAUCAAUACACACGGCCUUCAUUUUACAGCCAAGUUCAAAUGAAUAAAUAGAGAUGCAGCAAGCUGUUUACUAGGGAGACAAGCUUUGCUCUACAUGCCCUUCCAAGCAGGCACAUUUACGCUGUUGUUUGCCUUACGUGGCUGGUUAAUGGAAUCAGUCAAAUAGUUACAGAGCUCACCGGACAUUUCAAACCCCUCCAUCAGCAGUGCUGGCCAAGAGCUGGGAAGCAAGAGCUAUUGUGCAAGAUAGCUCAGGACCUGCAAAUCUCUUCCUGUUGCAGAGUUUUGGGGGCACUUGGGAGGAUUUUGGUACUUUGAAGAACCUAGGCUUGAUUUCAGGGGGAGUUCAUG
Molecule: long non-coding RNA, 1461 nt
Filed under: Strigops habroptila (Kakapo)
Lineage: Eukaryota; Metazoa; Chordata; Aves; Psittaciformes; Psittacidae
Description: lncRNA (ENSSHBG00005006758.1)
Source: RNAcentral